RNAcentral lists this ribosomal RNA (292 nucleotides) under uncultured bacterium. RNAcentral describes it as "partial 16S ribosomal RNA". It matches the Rfam family "Bacterial small subunit ribosomal RNA", at positions 505 to 796 of the family's 1533-position model. The record is from RNAcentral.
GUGUCAGCAGCCGCGGUAAUACGGGGGGUGCGAGCGUUGUCCGGAAUCACUGGGCGUAAAGGGCGCGUAGGUGGUUUGAUAAGGGUGUGGUGAAAGUCCGGGGCUCAACCCCGGAUCUGCCGUGCCGACUGUCAAACUCGAGGGCUGUAGAGGCAGACGGAAUUCCGGGUGUAGCGGUGGAAUGCGUAGAGAUCCGGAGGAAGACCGGUGGCGAAGGCGGUCUGCUGGGCAGUUUCUGACACUGAUGCGCGACAGCGUGGGGAGCAAACAGGAUUAGAUACCCUGGUAGUCC